Long non-coding RNA from Erinaceus europaeus (western European hedgehog), 1901 nucleotides. RefSeq lists it as uncharacterized. The record is from RefSeq and is a predicted model, not a curated record. NCBI's taxonomy places the organism in Eukaryota, Metazoa, Chordata, Mammalia, Eulipotyphla, Erinaceidae. The transcript has 2 exons.
AACUCUGAAACACAGAAGCCAGAGGAGCCCUUUACAGUCAAUAAUUACAACCUGAACGUGAGGAAACUCAAGCACACAGGGCUAUCUUUGCAUGUUAAGGAGCUCUGAGGGUUGCUGACAUUGUUUCUAAGCAGUGGUGAGAUUCUUCAGAAUCACCCGAGAUUGAUGGCAUACUCCAUGCAUUUUGUUCUUCGGAAAUUGGUUUUUCAGGUCUGCUAGGGCAUAAGUGGCAUAGGAUUUUAAAUUAACCAGGCAACUCAAUUCUCUAAAGAUAUUACAUGAGUAUAAAAUUACCAAACCCAAGAAGAAAUGCAUUAAGUCACCUAGAAAAACCUUUUACAAAGUUCUGUUUAUACUUCUCAUUUCCCUUUCCAUGUCUGUGUAUGAAAAUUUGCAUGUAUAGGUCUACUUGUUUUGAAGGAAGAUGACUGUACUUUUCACUGUACUUUUAUUUUUAAUGGGGACUAAGGCUAAAAAACACCUACAUUAAGUCCCAAGUUCUAGAGACUAGACUAAGAUUAACUGACACAGUGAACCCUAGCACUAAACAAAAUUCAAUGUAGUCUUUGAUUAUUAUUUUUUUCUUUAUGGAGGGGCUCAUGGUCUACAGUCAACAGUAAAAUCCAGUAGCUGGUCCAUGUGUAACAUUCCCCAGUUUUCCACAUAACACUCUAGCCCCCACCAAGGUCCUCUACCACCCUCAUGUUCCAGGACCUUAACACUCUCCACCCACUCCCUACCCCCAUCCCUGAGCCCUUUACUUUGGUGCAAUACAUGACUAGACUUUGAUUAUUAAAUAUAAUCUUUCUUGUCUCUCCAUUCUCUCCUUGGAAACUAGAUCCUCACAAGACAAUGCACCCGAUCUCAACCCCCAUUUUCUGAGCUUAUUUUUUUAUUUUCUCCUUACUGGCUUCCUUCCCAACUAUCAUCUAAUUUAAGGUGGAAGGUGCCUCAGCUGUCAUUGUGAAUAGCAUCUAAUUCUGCAGAGAAGCAACAAAGUCUUAAUAAUCAUUAUUCUUCUAGACAACAUGAAUUCUCUGGCUUUAGCUAUCAGUGGUGUCAACAACCAAAUUCUUUAUGGCAAGAAAUUUAAAAAACAGUUCGAUUUCCAGCUAUAGCCCCUCCCACCAUUUCUCUCAUUGAGAUAAAUACAUUUUUACUGAGUGCUUUUGCUUGUUUUUAAGGUAAAAUCUUAGAGGAAAUACUCAAGACAUGAGAGCUAAGUAGAGUUGGUGGUGGGACAGAGACAAGAUGGUGGACUCAGGUGUUUGGAGAUUGUGAAGGGGUUGAUGCAAAAGACUUUCUUUCUUUGGUUAACAUAGAGAAAUUGAGAGGAAAGGGGAGAUAGAGAGGGAGAGAGACAGUGAGACAUGGGCAUCGCUGCUUCUCUGCUUGUGAAACAUCUACCCUAUAGGUAAGGACCCGGCACUUCAGUUUAGGUCCUUACGCAUGGUAAUGUGUGCUCUACUUAUCGGGUGUGCCACAGCGAGUCCAGUCUUUUUUUUUUUUUUUUGUUAAACGCAGUUCUGGAAAUGCACCCUGGUCUUUGUACAUGUGUGCUGUUACUCAGUGGAGGAUGUGACCAAUUUUUUUCAUUCAUCCAUUCAUUCUUUCUUUUUUGGAUGAGAGAAAGAGGCACUCCUCCAGCAUGCCCAGGGCCAGGGCCCAAGCCCAGGACUACACACAGCCUGGUGUGUGUUUUGUGAGCCACCAGGUUCCAGAUGCUACCAUGAUGCCAACCGGACUUCCCUGGACAGACAACCCCACCAAUGUGUCCUGGAGCUCCACUUCCCCAGAGCCCUGCCCCACUAGAGAAAGAGAGAGACAGGCUGGGAGUAUGGAUAGACCUGUCAACACUCAUGUUCAGCAGGGAAGCAACCAAAGAAGCCAGACUUUCAAUC